UGCCAGACUCCUACGGGAGGCAGCAGUGAGGAAUAUUGGUCAAUGGGCGCGAGCCUGAACCAGCCAAGUCGCGUGAGGGAUGACGGCCCUACGGGUUGUAAACCUCUUUUGUCGGGGAGCAAAUUCCGCCACGUGUGGCGGAGUCGAGAGUACCCGAAGAAAAAGCAUCGGCUAACUCCGUGCCAGCAGCCGCGGUAAUACGUAGGUGGCAAGCGUUGUCCGGAAUUACUGGGUGUAAAGGGAGCGUAGGCGGGAAGCCAAGUCAGCUGUGAAAACUACGGGCUUAACCUGUAGACUGCAGUUGAAACUGGCUUUCUUGAGUGAAGUAGAGGUUGGCGGAAUUCCGAGUGUAGCGGUGAAAUGCGUAGAUAUUCGGAGGAACACCGGUGGCGAAGGCGGCCAACUGGGCUUUAACUGACGCUGAGGCUCGAAAGUGUGGGGAGCAAACAGGAUUAGAUACCCCUGUAC
RNAcentral lists this ribosomal RNA (468 nucleotides) under uncultured bacterium. RNAcentral describes it as "bacterial SSU rRNA". It matches the Rfam family "Bacterial small subunit ribosomal RNA", at positions 329 to 793 of the family's 1533-position model. The record is from RNAcentral.